Molecule: ribosomal RNA, 274 nt
Filed under: uncultured bacterium
Lineage: Bacteria
Description: partial 16S ribosomal RNA
Rfam family: Bacterial small subunit ribosomal RNA
Source: RNAcentral
AUACGGAGGGGACUAGCGUUGUUCGGAAUUACUGGGCGUAAAGAGUACGUAGGCGGUCUAUCAAGUUGGGUGUGAAAGCCCGGGGCUCAACCCCGGAACUGCACUCAAAACUGAUAAACUAGAGAUCGGAAGAGGUAAGUGGAAUUCCCAGUGUAGAGGUGAAAUUCGUAGAUAUUGGGAAGAACACCAGUGGCGAAGGCGGCUUACUGGUCCGAGACUGACGCUGAGGUACGAAAGCGUGGGGAGCAAACAGGAUUAGAAACCCUAGUAGUCC